Molecule: small RNA, 162 nt
Filed under: Lacticaseibacillus manihotivorans
Lineage: Bacteria; Bacillati; Bacillota; Bacilli; Lactobacillales; Lactobacillaceae
Also listed under: 1 other name
Description: Lactobacillus manihotivorans Magnesium sequence
Rfam family: M-box riboswitch aptamer (ykoK leader)
About the family: M-box riboswitch, also know as ykoK leader is described as a metaloregulatory RNA that sense divalent metals and function as a genetic control element of genes related to divalent metal transport in bacteria.
Source: RNAcentral
GGUGCUUUCCGUUAGGCGAGGCUCCUAUACGAACAAUGCUGCUGCUCAGAAACAUCCAGAGAUGCCAAUGAGUCAACCACGCUUACCGAUAAGGUUUGUGUUAAUGUAGCUGAAGAAUUCUUCUAGGCGUAUAGUGCUAAAACUUCACGAUUGGGAUGCAAU